UACGUAGGGUGCGAGCGUUAAUCGGAAUUACUGGGCGUAAAGCGCACGUAGGCGGCCUGCUAAGUCGGAUGUGAAAGCCCCAGGCUCAACCUGGGAAGUGCAUUCGAAACUGGUGAGCUUGAGUGUCGGAGAGGGUGGUGGAAUUCCGAGUGUAGAGGUGAAAUUCGUAGAUAUUAGGAAGAACACCAGUGGCGAAGGCGGCUCACUGGUCCGGUACUGACGCUGAGGUGCGAAAGCGUGGGGAGCAAACAGG
This 253-nucleotide ribosomal RNA is filed under the name uncultured bacterium. RNAcentral describes it as "partial 16S ribosomal RNA". It matches the Rfam family "Bacterial small subunit ribosomal RNA", at positions 524 to 776 of the family's 1533-position model. The record is from RNAcentral.